UACAGAGGGGGCAAGCGUUGUCCGGACUUACUGGGCGUAAAGCGCGCGCAGGCGGUGCCGUAUGUGCCCGGGGACACCCGCCCGCUCAACGGGCGACGGCCUGGGUAGACAGCGGCGCUGGAGGCAGGGAGAGGGUGAUGGAAUGCCCGGUGGAGCGGUGAAAUGCGUAGAGAUCGGGCGGAACACCAGCGGGGAAGCCGGUCACCUGGCCCUGACCUGACGCUGAGGCGCGACAGCGUGGGGAGCCAACGGG
Molecule: ribosomal RNA, 253 nt
Filed under: uncultured bacterium
Lineage: Bacteria
Description: partial 16S ribosomal RNA
Rfam family: Bacterial small subunit ribosomal RNA
Source: RNAcentral